UCAGUGCCGCAGUUAACACAAUAAGUAAUCCACCUGGGGAGUACGACCGCAAGGUUGAAACUCAAAGGAAUUGACGGGGGCCCGCACAAGCAGUGGAGUAUGUGGUUUAAUUCGACGCAACGCGAAGAACCUUACCAAGUCUUGACAUCCCUUGACGAUGCUGGAAACAGUAUUUCUCUUCGGAGCAAGGAGACAGGUGGUGCAUGGUUGUCGUCAGCUCGUGUCGUGAGAUGUUGGGUUAAGUCCCGCAACGAGCGCAACCCUUAUGGUCAGUUACUACGCAAGAGGACUCUGGCCAGACUGCCGUUGACAAAACGGAGGAAGGUGGGGAUGACGUCAAAUCAUCAUGCCCUUUAUGACUUGGGCUACACACGUACUACAAUGGCGUUAAACAAAGAGAAGCAAGACCGCGAGGUGGAGCAAAACUCAGAAACAACGUCCCAGUUCGGACUGCAGGCUGCAACUCGCCUGCACGAAGUCGGAAUUGCUAGUAAUCGUGGAUCAGCAUGCCACGGUGAAUACGUUCCCGGGCCUUGUACACACGGCCCGUC
This 551-nucleotide ribosomal RNA is filed under the name uncultured bacterium. Its description in RNAcentral is "bacterial SSU rRNA". It matches the Rfam family "Bacterial small subunit ribosomal RNA", at positions 840 to 1398 of the family's 1533-position model. The record is from RNAcentral.